This 75-nucleotide transfer RNA is filed under the name Candidatus Kaiserbacteria bacterium RIFCSPLOWO2_12_FULL_50_28. Its description in RNAcentral is "tRNA-Thr". It matches the Rfam family "tRNA". Rfam says of the family: Transfer RNA (tRNA) molecules are approximately 80 nucleotides in length. Their secondary structure includes four short double-helical elements and three loops (D, anti-codon, and T loops). Further hydrogen bonds mediate the characteristic L-shaped molecular structure. tRNAs have two regions of fundamental functional importance: the anti-codon, which is responsible for specific mRNA codon recognition, and the 3' end, to which the tRNAs corresponding amino acid is attached (by aminoacyl-tRNA synthetases). tRNAs cope with the degeneracy of the genetic code in two manners: having more than one tRNA (with a specific anti-codon) for a particular amino acid; and 'wobble' base-pairing, i.e. permitting non-standard base-pairing at the 3rd anti-codon position. Lineage: Bacteria; Candidatus Kaiseribacteriota. The record is from RNAcentral. RNAcentral also lists the same sequence under 1 other name.
GCCGGGGUAGUUCAGUGGUAGAACGUCAUCUUGGUAAGAUGAAGGUCGCGGGUCCGAUUCCCGCCUCCGGCUCCA